GUGAGCGUGUGUGUUUACGGAGGGGAUGGGAGUGGGUUUGAUAACAGAUGGUUAGUUUUGAACUCCUCUUUGACCUGUCCAACACACACACACACACAAAAAUAAAAAUCUCUCAUCGCUUUCUUCGUCUGUGGCACACUGAGGGAGACGGAGGCACAUAAAUGAAGCCUCUCGUGCUGAACAUAAAGCCCCGUGGAGGAUAUCUAACUCCUUAUUUCUGGUCUUCUGUCCAUCUGGAUCCAAGUUCUCCUGUCUGCUGUGUAAUAAUCAUUUUUAAGCUUUUCCAUGAGUGGAAACGUACAAGUUGGUAUCAAUUUGGAAAAAAAUUCUCAUGAAGUGAACAAUUACAAUUUAAAGGUAUAUAUUGCACUUUUUGUAAUUAAAAUAUGCCAAUAAAAUAAUGCUACGUACUACAUAAUAGUUACAGUAUUUAAUAAAUAACUAUUUUUGUAGUCGGGGGGAUCACUGCUAAAUCUGAAUACAUCCACUACUGUUGACGUGUUAGAGACAAUAAAGAAAAUAGCCACACUUUUAAUCUGCACAUGCCAUGCCAGCAAAAGUCAAAAGUAUAUGUGUGCAGGUCAUUUAAAUUUUUAUAGAAUAUAGUUGUGUUUUAUAAACAGCAACUGAAUAUUAAUUUGGUUUAUUUGGAAAUGUAAUUGGCACCAAAAACAACAUCUUUCCAGGUCGUGUCCUAAAUCAGCCCCUAAAAUGCUUCUGUAUUCUGUAAUUAUAAAGUCUAUAUUAAUGGUACUCUCAAUUAGUUUAUCUAUUUAUACACAAUAAUAUGUAAAUAUUUGUUUUGUGUGUGUUUAAAAAGCUAGCCAGAUGUGUUAUUUGUGGUCGCUGUCUGUGAGGAUGACAGCUACAGGUUUAAGGCAGGUUAAACUUCCUGUUAAUGGUGGAUUCAGAUGGACAGAAACACAUUUUAGGCAGCAGAAAUAACCUCAGUUUAAAAGCAGCAGCCAAAAACUGUCGGUGAGCUUGACGAGCAGGACACAGAGUGAAUGUCGGUGUAGGUACUGAACUGAAAAUGUCUAUUUUUAAAGGGUUUUACUGUGGUGAACCUGAGACUUCCACUAAAAUGUCCAACUCACGUGCAGCUGCUGCGCUCCUCAUCAUUUUUAAUUCACUUUUAAUAAACUUUUUUCUCUUUUUUUUUGCCUUUUUGAAGAACCUUUUAAAAAGUACUUUCAUUUAUAAUUUAACCCACUUUUAUGAACUUCCUCUCUGCACUUUCUGCUGCCUUCUCCAGUGCUACAGCCCAGCAUUAUCCCUCAGUGAAUGUCAGCAUUGAGAGACGAAUCAGUGAUAUAAUGUAGUUUUGUCCCAUUUUGGACGCCCGUCUCCUUCUGUGUCCUCGUUGCACUCUUUUCAGACCUCAUAAUGGCUCACUGCUUUGUAAAGCAAUUCUCAGUUGAGUGUUUUUUUCUUCUUGAAAUUCAGCCUUGUUAUUUUUCAGUCGGUGCUCAAAAAACUGGUCUGUUAGACAUUAAAAAUGUCAUGUUUUUAAUUGUGGACGAUUAUGCAAUUAACUGAACUUAGAUGAUUGGUUUCACAUAUGACCUUGAGAUAAAACAAGUUUUACUGAGGGGAAAGGAGUGGAGCCAAACGCCUGUCUAACCUCAUCACAAGUCUGAUUGAGAGGGCACUUUGAAGGAGACCUGCAUCUAUAAUGGGACAAAUAUUUUCUUUUGAGAUGUGAGUGAUGAGGUUAAAGGUGUGUUAGAGGAAGAAAAUAUUCAGAGCGGAAGCCAAACCCUUACUUUACAGAUUUUAUGAUGUUGGACAGAGGAGGAUUUUGAAGGGCACAUUGAAGCACGUGAAUAAGUGAGGCUGGGAGAGAGUGUGAGAGUGUUUUUCCUGGGGGGCAGGGCUGAGGGAGGGUGGGGUUCAGCUGCUAGAUGAUAUAAGACUAAGUUGUUCGUCUGUAGUUUUCCAUCAAUCAAUCGACUCUUCUUUUAAUUUACCUUUUUUUUCCCAAUAAGAUUUGCCUUUAUCCAAUCACACCGGUGUACAAACCAACUGACUUUUAACAUCCGCUGUAUUAUAGUAAAUAAAAAUGAUUUUCAGAAAUGGAAAAACUCUAAAAGAUCUUUUUUUUCUUUGUUUGCUCUCCAUAAUGUUUCCAAAUAAAGAUUCUUUUUUUCCAAA
Molecule: long non-coding RNA, 2154 nt
Organism: Oreochromis aureus
Lineage: Eukaryota; Metazoa; Chordata; Actinopteri; Cichliformes; Cichlidae
Source: Ensembl